Molecule: long non-coding RNA, 620 nt
Organism: Myotis daubentonii (Daubenton's bat)
Lineage: Eukaryota; Metazoa; Chordata; Mammalia; Chiroptera; Vespertilionidae
Source: RefSeq, a predicted model, not a curated record
UCCUGCGGCCCCCACCCCACCCCCCUUCUCUGCGGGGAAUUCGAGUCUUGACGGAGAUGCUGAACCUGGAGCCUUUCUUGGGAUUCGUGAUCAGCAGGCGCCAGCCUCCUCCUCACCGUGCCCACCCUUCUCUGCCCUCAUCUCCUUGUGCCUACAUCCCCAAGAAAACGCUGAAGGCCUCAUGUGUAUGAUAUGGAAUCAAGCUUCACUUUCCACCUGGGCUAGGUCAGACAGGAUGUCGGACUUCAAAACACACUGAGGGCCCUAGCCAGUUUGGCCCAGUAGAUAGAGCAUCAGCCUGCAGACCAAAGUUGUCCCAAGUUCGAUUCCAGUCAAGGGCAUGUACCUUGGUUGCAGGCUCCUUCCCGGCCCAGGCCCUGGUUGGGGCUCGUGAAGGAGGCAACCAACUGAUAUGUUUUUCUCACAUUGAUGUUUCUCUCUGUCUUUCCCUCUCUCUCCCACUCUCCCUAAAAGUCAAUGGAAAAUAUCCUUGGGAGAGGAUUAACAACAACAACACACACACACACUGAGGAAUGCUGACCAGCAGUGCACACUUAUGAAUAAACCAGUUACUGUUAGCACAGAUACAGGGUGGUAUCUCCCAUAUCUGUUUUUCUUCC